UCCCGGAUGUUAGCGGCGGACGGGUGAGUAACACGUGGGUAACCUGCCUGUAAGACUGGGAUAACUCCGGGAAACCGGAGCUAAUACCGGAUAGUUCCUUGAACCGCAUGGUUCAAGGAUGAAAGACGGUUUCGGCUGUCACUUACAGAUGGACCCGCGGCGCAUUAGCUAGUUGGUGAGGUAACGGCUCACCAAGGCGACGAUGCGUAGCCGACCUGAGAGGGUGAUCGGCCACACUGGGACUGAGACACGGCCCAGACUCCUACGGGAGGCAGCAGUAGGGAAUCUUCCGCAAUGGACGAAAGUCUGACGGAGCAACGCCGCGUGAGUGAUGAAGGUUUUCGGAUCGUAAAGCUCUGUUGUUAGGGAAGAACAAGUGCAAGAGUAACUGCUUGCACCUUGACGGUACCUAACCAGAAAGCCACGGCUAACUACGUGCCAGCAGCCGCGGUAAUACGUAGGUGGCAAGCGUUGUCCGGAAUUAUUGGGCGUAAAGGGCUCGCAGGCGGUUUCUUAAGUCUGAUGUGAAAGCCCCCGGCUCAACCGGGGAGGGUCAUUGGAAACUGGGAAACUUGAGUGCAGAAGAGGAGAGUGGAAUUCCACGUGUAGCGGUGAAAUGCGUAGAGAUGUGGAGGAACACCAGUGGCGAAGGCGACUCUCUGGUCUGUAACUGACGCUGAGGAGCGAAAGCGUGGGGAGCGAACAGGAUUAGAUACCCUGGUAGUCCACGCCGUAAACGAUGAGUGCUAAGUGUUAGGGGGUUUCCGCCCCUUAGUGCUGCAGCUAACGCAUUAAGCACUCCGCCUGGGGAGUACGGUCGCAAGACUGAAACUCAAAGGAAUUGACGGGGGCCCGCACAAGCGGUGGAGCAUGUGGUUUAAUUCGAAGCAACGCGAAGAACCUUACCAGGUCUUGACAUCCUCUGACAACCCUAGAGAUAGGGCUUUCCCUUCGGGGACAGAGUGACAGGUGGUGCAUGGUUGUCGUCAGCUCGUGUCGUGAGAUGUUGGGUUAAGUCCCGCAACGAGCGCAACCCUUGAUCUUAGUUGCCAGCAUUUAGUUGGGCACUCUAAGGUGACUGCCGGUGACAAACCGGAGGAAGGUGGGGAUGACGUCAAAUCAUCAUGCCCCUUAUGACCUGGGCUACACACGUGCUACAAUGGACAGAACAAAGGGCUGCGAGACCGCAAGGUUUAGCCAAUCCCACAAAUCUGUUCUCAGUUCGGAUCGCAGUCUGCAACUCGACUGCGUGAAGCUGGAAU
RNAcentral lists this ribosomal RNA (1262 nucleotides) under uncultured Bacillus sp. RNAcentral describes it as "bacterial SSU rRNA". It matches the Rfam family "Bacterial small subunit ribosomal RNA", at positions 83 to 1332 of the family's 1533-position model. Lineage: Bacteria; Bacillati; Bacillota; Bacilli; Caryophanales; Bacillaceae. The record is from RNAcentral.